GACGAACGCUGGCGGCGUGCUUAACACAUGCAAGUCGAACGGUGAAGCGUCUUCCUUUUUGGUGGGUGUGGAUGAGUGGCGAACGGGUGAGUAACACGUGAGUAACCUGCCCCCUUCUUCUGGAUAACCGCAUGAAAGUGUGGCUAAUACGGGAUAUUCUGGGUCUGUCGCAUGAUGGGUCUGGGAAAGAUAUUGUUUCGGUGGGGGAUGGGCUCGCGGCCUAUCAGCUUGUUGGUGGGGUGAUGGCAUACCAAGGCGGUGACGGGUAGCCGGCCUGAGAGGGUGGACGGUCACACUGGGACUGAGACACGGCCCAGACUCCUACGGGAGGCAGCAGUGGGGAAUAUUGCACAAUGGGCGCAAGCCUGAUGCAGCGACGCCGCGUGAGGGAUGGAGGCCUUCGGGUUGUGAACCUCUUUCGCCAGUGAAGCAGGCCUGCCUCGUUUGUGGGUGGGUUGACGGUAGCUGGAUAAGAAGCGCCGGCUAACUACGUG
RNAcentral lists this ribosomal RNA (494 nucleotides) under uncultured bacterium. Its description in RNAcentral is "partial 16S ribosomal RNA". It matches the Rfam family "Bacterial small subunit ribosomal RNA", at positions 28 to 507 of the family's 1533-position model. The record is from RNAcentral.